UUAUCUUUCCUCUCAAAGAAACUUGGGGCUUUUCUCUAACACCAAUCUAUUGCCGCAAGGCUCUAGUGAGGAUGUUGAUGUGGCUAGAGUUGGACGUUAGUCGAGAUCUUCGAUGCCAUAGGGUACAUGCAAAAAAAAAUUCACACUCAUCAGAGAUGUUCGGAUGGAGGACCCUCCAAUGCUUAAGUUAGCCGAAACUUUAAGAAU
Molecule: long non-coding RNA, 207 nt
Filed under: Elaeis guineensis (African oil palm)
Lineage: Eukaryota; Viridiplantae; Streptophyta; Magnoliopsida; Arecales; Arecaceae
Description: long non-coding RNA (EGUI_LNC010303)
Source: RNAcentral